Molecule: transfer RNA, 91 nt
Filed under: Candidatus Omnitrophota bacterium
Lineage: Bacteria; Pseudomonadati; Candidatus Omnitrophota
Description: Candidatus Omnitrophica bacterium tRNA-Ser
Rfam family: tRNA
About the family: Transfer RNA (tRNA) molecules are approximately 80 nucleotides in length. Their secondary structure includes four short double-helical elements and three loops (D, anti-codon, and T loops). Further hydrogen bonds mediate the characteristic L-shaped molecular structure. tRNAs have two regions of fundamental functional importance: the anti-codon, which is responsible for specific mRNA codon recognition, and the 3' end, to which the tRNAs corresponding amino acid is attached (by aminoacyl-tRNA synthetases). tRNAs cope with the degeneracy of the genetic code in two manners: having more than one tRNA (with a specific anti-codon) for a particular amino acid; and 'wobble' base-pairing, i.e. permitting non-standard base-pairing at the 3rd anti-codon position.
Source: RNAcentral
GGAGAGGUGCCGGAGCGGUUGAACGGGCACGCCUGGAAAGCGUGUGACCGCCAAAAGCGGUCCCAGGGUUCGAAUCCCUGCCUCUCCGCCA